GACGAACGCUGGCGGCGUGCCUAAUACAUGCAAGUAGAACGCUGAAGGAGGAGCUUGCUCUUCUGGAUGAGUUGCGCACGGGUGAGUAACGCGUAGGUAACCUGCCUGGUAGCGGGGGAUAACUCUUGGAAACGAUAGCUAAUACCGCAUUACAGUAGAUGUUGCAUGACAUUUGCUUAAAAGGUGCAAUUGCAUCACUACCAGAUGGACCUGCGUUGUAUUAGGUAGUUGGUGGGGUAACGGCUCACCAAGGCGACGAUACAUAGUCGACCCGGGGGGGUGGUCGGCCACACUGGGACUGGGACACGGCCCAGACUCCUACGGGAGGCAGCAGGAGGGAAUCUUCGGCAAUGGACGGAAGGCUGGCCGAGCAACGGCGCGGUAGUGAAGAAGGGUUUCGGAUCGGAAAGCUCUGUUGUAAGGGAAGAACGAGUGGGGGAGUGGAAAGUUCACACUGUGACGGUACCUUACCAGAAAGGGACGGCUAACUACGUG
This 495-nucleotide ribosomal RNA is filed under the name uncultured bacterium. RNAcentral's name for it is "partial 16S ribosomal RNA". It matches the Rfam family "Bacterial small subunit ribosomal RNA", at positions 28 to 507 of the family's 1533-position model. The record is from RNAcentral.